GUGCCAGCAGCCGCGGUAAUACGUAGGGUCCAAGCGUUAAUCGGAAUUACUGGGCGUAAAGCGUGCGCAGGCGGUUGUGCAAGACCGAUGUGAGAUCCCCGGGCUUAACCUGGGAAUUGCAUUGGUGACUGCACGGCUAGAGUGUGUCAGAGGGGGGUAGAAUUCCACGUGUAGCAGUGAAAUGCGUAGAGAUGUGGAGGAAUACCGAUGGCGAAGGCAGCCCCCUGGGAUAACACUGACGCUCAUGCACGAAAGCGUGGGGAGCAAACAGGAUUAGAUACCCUGGUAGUCCACGCCCUAAACGAUGUCAACUAGUUGUUGGGGAUUCAUUUCCUUAGUAACGUAGCUAACGCGUGAAGUUGACCGCCUGGGGAGUACGGUCGCAAGAUUAAAACUCAAAGAAAUUGACGGGA
This 413-nucleotide ribosomal RNA is filed under the name uncultured Burkholderia sp. RNAcentral's name for it is "bacterial SSU rRNA". It matches the Rfam family "Bacterial small subunit ribosomal RNA", at positions 505 to 918 of the family's 1533-position model. The record is from RNAcentral. Lineage: Bacteria; Pseudomonadati; Pseudomonadota; Betaproteobacteria; Burkholderiales; Burkholderiaceae.